This 253-nucleotide ribosomal RNA is filed under the name uncultured bacterium. Its description in RNAcentral is "partial 16S ribosomal RNA". It matches the Rfam family "Bacterial small subunit ribosomal RNA", at positions 524 to 776 of the family's 1533-position model. The record is from RNAcentral.
UACGUGUGUGGCAAGCGUUGUUCGGAAUUACUGGGCAUAAAGAGUUCGUAGGCGGACUCAUCAGUUGGAUGUGAAAUCCCACAGCUCACCUGUGGAACUGCAUUCAAUACUGUGAGUCUGGAGUACUUGAGGGGUAAGCGGAAUUCCAUGUGUAGCGGUGAAAUGCGUAGAUAUAUGGGAGAAGGCCAAAGGCGAAGGCAGCUUACUGGCGAGAUACUGACGCUGAGGAACGAAAGUUAGGGUAUCGAACGGG